UGGUGUCUCAUUGCCUCAUGAAAAUCCUAAAAAGUGUUCAAUUCUUUAAAACAUUGAUUACACUCUUCCAUUAAAUAUCAGCUGUGGUCCUCCAUUGCUCAUGUUGUCUGUUAUUUCCUGUUAGAAAAAUGACAUGAUUAAUUAAAAUUCGCUUUUGGAGUAAGACAUUGUUUUGGUUAAUGAGUUUGCAAAACAGAAAUUUCAAUCCAUUGAAAAACUUGCUAAGUUUUGGGGAAAGACAAGGAUAUUGCUGUUAUAUUUGAGGAAAUAAAAUUUCAUGGCAUCUUGGAGCACAUGCAAAUGCCAAAGUAAGAGUCAGUUAGACCAAAAUAUUCUCUCCACAACAACGGUCCAUUCUCUCCCCACUUUCCUGAGUUUCCUCUUUCUUUCUUCAACUCAAUUUUGGAAAGACCUCACCUAGAAAGAAGAAGAUGGUUAAAUGCGCAAGUUUUUCUAAUGCAUAGACUCUGCUGAGCAUGUCAACAAAGUGCCAAUGCAUUCUAGAGGUGACCUUUAUUCUACAGGAAAAUGUGUGGCCUUUUUGCUAAGAACAGAAAAAGGCCUACGAGGGCAUCAUUGCUCAUUUGUAACUAUGGAUCACUAAAAAAUCAUAGUGGGAAAGAUUGUUUUUCAUGACACUAUCACUCUUCCAGUAAGAAGCAAAAACAGUGAAGUCUCUUAACAUGUUUUUAAUGGAUCAAUUACUAAAAAGUUAAUAAGUAAAACUAUAUAGAAAAGCACUGAAAAUAUAGAUGCAAAGGACAAACUAGCAUUGAAAGUUUCAUUUUCAAUUAUAUGAAAUACAUUAUGAAAAAUUUUGAUGCUUUUAAUUCAUAUGUUUUGUUAAAUAUUAAACCCUUCCCAACACAAUAAAAAGUGAUAGGAUAUGAAGCCCAUUCAUAUUUUAAUGGUUAGAGCACCAUAGUAAAAUUAUGUUGAUAAAAUUAUCUAAAAAUAAAUUGGCAGCAUCUUUCCAUGCUUGAACAAGCCUAUUUGCAACAGAGCAGAAAAAAAAAAUUAGAAGUGGAAAUUAUUUUCUCAAUUAUUUUAUUUCUAUAUCUAUUUCUAUCUAGCUCUGUUUGGAGAAUCUGCUAGAGAUGUACAUGGUGAAAGUCUCCUAGAGAGGUAAAUGUUGGUAAUAAACACACAUUAAGGACAGUGUUUCUGCCCUGCCAUUGAAGGUAUUACUCAGCUAGAAUAUUCUCUGCCUACAUAGAUCAAAUUCAUAAGGAAUUCAUGGGAUCCAGGAUGGAAUGCAGACUGUAAUAAAAAAUCUAAUCACAUCACAAUUAAGAACACAAUCUCCCUGAAGAGGUGAGCUAAAAUAUAAGUGAGGAGUGUGCAAGGAUGCUGAAUGUUUGGGAAUGAGAGGAUAAAUGAGUGAUGCUUGAAAACAGACCACAUUGAAAAUCCUGCCACGGCAGCAGCUGCAGCCACCAACAGCAGUGGUGUUAGUGACCUAAGUAAGCACCGACUUCGUAGAAACCAGAACAUCAGCCAUCUUGGAAAAGAGAAAAACAAUGGAGUUACUUAUUUAAGAAAAACAAAAAACAAACAAACAAACAAAAAACACAACUAUUUCUUCCCAGGAGAGGCUAGAAGUAGCUUUUCUGCCUUCUGGCCGGAGCCAAUUGGAAUGACUGGUUUGGGAGAGGAGGAGGGGUUGUGUCAGCUGUGGUGCUUUGUUGUAAAAGGCAGCCUGACCUUUGCUACUGAGGAGAAAGAUGGAGCCGAGUCUCAAGCCCACCUUCUCUGUAUCUUUGCCACGUGGUACUGUAUGCCUGCCAGCUAGAAGGAAGGGAAAACACUGUCGAAUGGUCAGAGCUCCUAUCCUGAUCUUUUCAUCAAGGCGCCUUUCCUAAUAAUACGAAUGUGAGCUCUACAGUGUCAGGCGUCUUGGAACUGGAUCAUGG
Long non-coding RNA from Homo sapiens (human), 1913 nucleotides. RefSeq lists it as uncharacterized. NCBI's taxonomy places the organism in Eukaryota, Metazoa, Chordata, Mammalia, Primates, Hominidae. The record is from RefSeq and is a predicted model, not a curated record. The transcript has 5 exons.